GACCUCUUGAGGCACAGGAGGAAGAGGAUGCACCUCAUUCCCUUUUAGACCACGAACCAUUUCUUGUCACUGAUGGUGGAAAAAGAGGACCGUGGGAGAUAAACUAUCCUUUCAGAGGCAUCAGAGAACCUUUAAGGAGUGACCAGAAUAUCUCCCUUGUAACUCAGAACACAGGUAAAACGACUAGUAGCACCGAGGUUGAGGUUAUGAACGAACAAAGUUCCAUCGACCAGAAUUCAUCUGAGGAGAGUACGUCUGGACAAAUUUCUUCUGAGGAGACCUCGUCGGAGCAAAGUGAGCAGGGUGCGCCCGUGGUUUCUGGGCAAACUGAAUAUGAGGGGGCGAACUGGAUUGCACCGGUCCCUGAGAGAUAG
Molecule: non-coding RNA, 374 nt
Organism: Vicia faba (fava bean)
Lineage: Eukaryota; Viridiplantae; Streptophyta; Magnoliopsida; Fabales; Fabaceae
Source: the annotation of a GenBank genome assembly